GAUGAAGAACGUAGCGAAAUGCGAUAAGUAAUGUGAAUUGCAGAAUUCAGUGAAUCAUCGAAUCUUUGAACGCACAUUGCGCCCGCCAGCAUUCUGGCGGGCAUGCCUGUUCGAGCGUCAUUUCAACCCUCGAGCCCCCCCGGGGGCCUCGGUGUUGGGGGACGGCACACCAGCCGCCCCCGAAAUGCAGUGGCGACCCCGCCGCAGCCUCCCCUGCGUAGUAGCACACACCUCGCACCGGAGCGCGGAGGCGGUCACGCCGUAAAACGCCCAACUUUCUUAGAGUUGACCUCGGAUCAGGUAGGAAUACCCGCUGAACUUAAGCAUAUCAAUAAGCAGAGGA
This 343-nucleotide unclassified non-coding RNA is filed under the name soil metagenome. RNAcentral's name for it is "partial contains 5.8S ribosomal RNA, internal transcribed spacer 2, and large subunit ribosomal RNA". The stretch from base 1 to 120 matches the Rfam family "5.8S ribosomal RNA", at positions 35 to 154 of the family's 154-position model. The record is from RNAcentral.